ACAGUGGGGAAUAUUGGACAAAUGGGCGCAAGCCUGAUCCAGCCAUACCGCGUGGGUGAAGAAGGCCUUCGGGUUGUAAAGCCCUUUUGUUGGGAAAGAAAUCUUGCCGGUUAAUACCUGGCGAGGAUGACGGUACCCAAAGAAUAAGCACCGGCUAACUUCGUGCCAGCAGCCGCGGUAAUACGAAGGGUGCAAGCGUUACUCGGAAUUACUGGGCGUAAAGCGUGCGUAGGUGGUGGUUUAAGUCUGCUGUGAAAGCCCUGGGCUCAACCUGGGAAUUGCAGUGGAUACUGGGUCACUAGAGUGUGGUAGAGGGAUGCGGAAUUUCCGGUGUAGCAGUGAAAUGCGUAGAGAUCGGAAGGAACAUCCGUGGCGAAGGCGGCAUCCUGGGCCAACACUGACACUGAGGCACGAAAGCGUGGGGAGCAAACAGGAUUAGAUACCCUGGUAGUCCACGCCCUAAACGAUGCGAACUGGAUGUUGGGUGCAACUUGGCACCCAGUAU
RNAcentral lists this ribosomal RNA (505 nucleotides) under uncultured bacterium. RNAcentral describes it as "bacterial SSU rRNA". It matches the Rfam family "Bacterial small subunit ribosomal RNA", at positions 351 to 846 of the family's 1533-position model. The record is from RNAcentral.